Molecule: ribosomal RNA, 1291 nt
Filed under: Sitophilus oryzae (rice weevil)
Lineage: Eukaryota; Metazoa; Arthropoda; Insecta; Coleoptera; Curculionidae
Description: 16S ribosomal RNA
Rfam family: Archaeal large subunit ribosomal RNA (bases 605-1291)
Source: RNAcentral
UUUUGAAGUAAUUAUUAGAAUAUUUAGUUUAAUUUAAAUUAAUAUGAGUAAAUUAAAGUUUAAUUAUUUGUGAAGAAUAAAUUUAAUAUAAUUAUAGUUUAUUAGUAUUGUGAAAGAAAUUUAAUCAAAAUUUUAUAAGAAGAGUUAAUUUUUUGUACCUUGUGUAUCAGGGUUUAUUAAAUAAAGUUAAUGGAUAUUUAUUUUCUCGAAUUUAAGAGAGCUAUAAUUAUAUAAUUUUUAUUGUGGAAUAAAUAUUAGUAAUAUAAUUAUUGAAGUGAAAUGCUAUUCGAUCUUAAAUAUAUCUAGUUUUUUAAGAAAUAAAUUUAAUUUAGUUUAUUUUAAAUAUAAGUUUUAAUUUUUAAGUUUAUGUUUGAAUAAGUAAAUAUUUUAGGGGAUGAGCUUUAAAAUAAAAUUUUAAAAAUUUAUUUAAUUUUAUUAAUAAAUAGGAUUAGAAGUUUUUAUUUUUAAAUAGUGUUUUAUAACUAAUUAAUAUAAAAAUAUAAUUUGUAUUUAAAUUUUAAGUUUUUUAUUAAAAUUUUCUUUUUAAUAAUUAAAAAGUAGUAAUAAUGAUAAAAUUAGUAAAAUUAAGAGUUUAAAUUAUUAAAUAUUGAAAGGUUAAAUAAAGGAACUCGGCAAAAUAUUUUUCACCUGUUUAUUAAAAACAUGUCUUUUUGAUUAUAAUUUAAAGUCUAACCUGCCCAAUGAUAAAAUUUAAAUGGCUGCGGUAUUUUGACCGUACAAAGGUAGCAUAAUCAUUAGUUUUUUAAUUGAAAGCUGGAAUGAAAGGUUGCAUGAAAAAAUGACUGUCUCUAUUUAAAUUUAAUUGAAUUUUAUUUUUAAGUAAAAAAGCUUAAAUUUUUCUAAAAGACGAGAAGACCCUAUAGAGUUUUAUAAAUUUAUUAUAAGGAAUUUUUAGGAUUUAAAAUAAUUUAUAUUUAAUUUAUUUAAUUGGGGUGAUUGAAAAAUUUGUUAAACUUUUUUUAUUUAUAUUACAUUAAUUUAUGAGUUUUUGAUCCUUACUUUAAGAUUAAAAGAUAAAAUUACCUUAGGGAUAACAGCGUUAUUUUUUUUGAGAGUUCAAAUCGAAAAAAAAGAUUGCGACCUCGAUGUUGGAUUAAAAUAAAUUUUUGGUGUAGAAGCUAAAAAAAUUAGGUCUGUUCGACCUUUAAAAUUUUACAUGAUCUGAGUUUAAACCGGCGUGAGCCAGGUUGGUUUCUAUCUUUAGAAAAAGUAAAUAUCUUAGUACGAAAGGACCUUUUAUUUAAUUUAAAAUUUUUAUAUGAAUAAAAUU